This 497-nucleotide ribosomal RNA is filed under the name uncultured bacterium. Its description in RNAcentral is "partial 16S ribosomal RNA". It matches the Rfam family "Bacterial small subunit ribosomal RNA", at positions 28 to 507 of the family's 1533-position model. The record is from RNAcentral.
GAUGAACGCUGGCGGCGUGCCUAACACAUGCAAGUCGAGCGAACAGACGAGGAGCUUGCUCCUCUGACGUUAGCGGCGGACGGGUGAGUAACACGUGGAUAACCUACCUAUAAGACUGGGAUAACUUCGGGAAACCGGAGCUAACACCGGAUAAUAUAUUGAACCGCAUGGUUCAAUAGUGAAAGACGGUUUUGCUGGCACGUAUAGAUGGAUCCGCGCCGCAUUAGCUAGUUGGUAAGGUAACGGCUUACCAAGGCAACGAUGCGUAGCCGACCUGAGAGGGUGAUCGGCCACACUGGGACUGAGACACGGCCCAGACUCCUACGGGAGGCAGCAGUGGGGAAUCUUCCGCAAUGGGCGAAAGCCUGACGGAGCAACGCCGCGUGAGUGAUGAAGGUCUUCGGAUCGUAAAGCUCUGUUAUUAGGAACGAACAGAUGUGUGAGUAACUAUGCACGUCUUGACGGUACCUAAUCAGAAAGCCACGGCUAACUACGUG